This 433-nucleotide ribosomal RNA is filed under the name uncultured bacterium. RNAcentral's name for it is "partial 16S ribosomal RNA". It matches the Rfam family "Bacterial small subunit ribosomal RNA", at positions 29 to 507 of the family's 1533-position model. The record is from RNAcentral.
AGCGAACGCUGGCGGCAGGCCUAACACAUGCAAGUCGAACGAACUCUUCGGAGUUAGUGGCGGACGGGUGAGUAACACGUGGGAACGUGCCUUUUGGUUCGGAAUAACUCAGGGAAACUUGUGCUAAUACCGAAUGUGCCCUUCGGGGGAAAGAUUUAUCGCCAUUAGAGCGGCCCGCGUCUGAUUAGCUAGUUGGUGAGGUAACGGCUCACCAAGGCGACGAUCAGUAGCUGGUCUGAGAGGAUGACCAGCCACACUGGGACUGAGACACGGCCCAGACUCCUACGGGAGGCAGCAGUGGGGAAUCUUGCGCAAUGGGCGAAAGCCUGACGCAGCCAUGCCGCGUGAAUGAUGAAGGUCUUAGGUUUGUAAAAUUCUUUCACCGGGGACGAUAAUGACGGUACCCGGAGAAGAAGCCCCGGCUAACUUCGUG